CUAAGCCAUGCAAGUGAAAGGAAUUUAGUUCCUUCGCGAAUCGCUCAGUAACACGUCGAUAAUCUACCCUUAUGCUCGGACUAAGCUCGGGAAACUGAGUAUAAUGCCGAAUGGGUGAUAAGAUCUGGAAUGUCUUAUCACUUAAAGUUUUAACGUAUAAGGAUGAGUUGGCGGCUGAUUAGGUAGUUGGCGGGGUAACGGCCCACCAAGCCAAAGAUCAGUAGGGGCCUUGAGAGAGGUAUCCCCGAGAGGGUCACUGAGAAACUGGACCCAGCCCUACGGGGUGCAGCAGGCGCGAAACCUCUUCAAUGCACGACAGUGUGAAAGGGGGAUCCUACGUGCUCAUGUUAUACAUGGGCUUUUGCAUAGUGUACAAAGCUAUGCGAAUAAGGGGUGGGAAAGACCGGUGCCAGCAGCCGCGGUAACACCGGCGCCCCAAGUGGCAAUCGCAAUUACUGGGCCUAAAGCAUCCGUAGCCUGGUUUGUAAGUCUUCUGUGAAAUCUCUCAGCUCAACUGAGAGGCGGGCAGAGGAAACUACAUACCUAGAAACCGGGAGGAGUCGAAGGUAUACUGAGGGGAGCGGUAAAAUGUGAUAAUCCUCGGUAGACCACCAAUGGCGAAAGCAUUCGACUAGAACGGAUUUGACGGUGAGGGAUGAAGGCUAGGGGAGCAAAACGGAUUAGAUACCCGAGUAGUCCUAGCUGUAAACUCUGCGUGCAAGGUGUUGCAUAUUCUCGUGAAUGUGCAGUAUCGAAGGGAAGUCGUUAAGCACGCCGCCUGGGAAGUACGGUCGCAAGACUGAAACUUAAAGGAAUUGGCGGGGGAGCGCCACAAGGGGUGCGGCGUGCGGUUUAAUCUAACUCAACGCAGAAAAUCUCACCAGGGGCGACAGCAAGAUGAAGAUCAGUCUAAAGGGCUUAUCAGAUGAGCUGAGAGGUAGUGCAUGGCCAUCGUCAGCUCGUGCCGUAAGGUGUCCUGUUAAGUCAGGCAACGAGCGAGACCUGUAUCCACAAUUGCCAGCGAUAUCUUCGGAUAGAUCGGGAACAUUGUGGGGACUGCCCGUGAAAACGGGAGGAAGGUGCAGGCUACGGUAGGUCUGUAUGCUCCGAAUCUCCUGGGCUACACGCGCGCAACAAUGGUAUGGACAAUGGGCUACUACUCCGAAAGGAGGCGUUAAUCCUCGAAACCAUACCCAAGUACAGAUUGUGGAUUGUAACUCAUCCACAUGACGCUGGAUCCCUAGUAAUCGGAAGUCAUCAUCUUUCGGUGA
Molecule: ribosomal RNA, 1271 nt
Filed under: uncultured euryarchaeote
Lineage: Archaea; Methanobacteriati; Methanobacteriota
Description: bacterial SSU rRNA
Rfam family: Archaeal small subunit ribosomal RNA
Source: RNAcentral